This 253-nucleotide ribosomal RNA is filed under the name Phocaeicola plebeius DSM 17135. Its description in RNAcentral is "partial 16S ribosomal RNA". It matches the Rfam family "Bacterial small subunit ribosomal RNA", at positions 524 to 776 of the family's 1533-position model. Lineage: Bacteria; Pseudomonadati; Bacteroidota; Bacteroidia; Bacteroidales; Bacteroidaceae. The record is from RNAcentral.
UACGGAGGAUGCAAGCGUUGUCCGGAUUUAUUGGGUUUAAAGGGAGCGCAGACGGGUCGUUAAGUCAGCUGUGAAAGUUUGGGGCUCAACCUUAAAAUUGCAGUUGAUACUGGCGUCCUUGAGUGCGGUUGAGGUGUGCGGAAUUCGUGGUGUAGCGGUGAAAUGCUUAGAUAUCACGAAGAACUCCGAUUGCGAAGGCAGCACACUAAGCCGUAACUGACGUUCAUGCUCGAAAGUGUGGGUAUCAAACAGG